UACGGGAGGCAGCAGUGGGGAAUAUUGCACAAUGGGGGAAACCCUGAUGCAGCGACGCCGCGUGAGUGAUGAAGUAUUUCGGUAUGUAAAACUCUAUCAGCAGGGAAGAUAAUGACGGUACCUGACUAAGAAGCACCGGCUAAAUACGUGCCAGCAGCCGCGGUAAUACGUAUGGUGCAAGCGUUAUCCGGAUUUACUGGGUGUAAAGGGUGCGUAGGUGGUAUGGCAAGUCAGAAGUGAAAGGCUGGGGCUCAACCCCGGGACUGCUUUUGAAACUGUCAAACUAGAGUACAGGAGAGGAAAGCGGAAUUCCUAGUGUAGCGGUGAAAUGCGUAGAUAUUAGGAGGAACACC
Molecule: ribosomal RNA, 353 nt
Filed under: uncultured bacterium
Lineage: Bacteria
Description: bacterial SSU rRNA
Rfam family: Bacterial small subunit ribosomal RNA
Source: RNAcentral